CCUACGGGUGGCAGCAGUGGGGAAUAUUGGACAAUGGGCGAAAGCCUGAUCCAGCCAUGCCGCGUGUGUGAAGAAGGCCUUCGGGUUGUAAAGCACUUUCAGUGGGGAAGAAAGCCUUGGGGCUAAUACCCUCGAGGAAGGACAUCACCCACAGAAGAAGCACCGGCUAACUCCGUGCCAGCAGCCGCGGUAAUACGGAGGGUGCGAGCGUUAAUCGGAAUUACUGGGCGUAAAGCGCGCGUAGGCGGUCUGAUAAGCCGGUUGUGAAAGCCCCGGGCUCAACCUGGGAACGGCAUCCGGAACUGUCAGGCUAGAGUGCAGAAGAGGAAGGUAGAAUUCCCGGUGUAGCGGUGAAAUGCGUAGAGAUCGGGAGGAAUACCAGUGGCGAAGGCGGCCUUCUGGACUGACACUGACGCUGAGGUGCGAAAGCGUGGGUAGCAAACAGGAUUAGAUACCCCUGUAGUC
Molecule: ribosomal RNA, 465 nt
Filed under: Vreelandella stevensii
Lineage: Bacteria; Pseudomonadati; Pseudomonadota; Gammaproteobacteria; Oceanospirillales; Halomonadaceae
Description: partial 16S ribosomal RNA
Rfam family: Bacterial small subunit ribosomal RNA
Source: RNAcentral